CCUGGUAGCUAUGGCGGGGGGUCCCCACCCGAUCCCAUCCCGAACUCGGAAGUUAAGCCCCCUUGCGCCGAUGGUACUUUGUCUUAAGGCACGGGAGAGUAGGUCGCCGCCAGGU
This 115-nucleotide ribosomal RNA is filed under the name Robiginitomaculum sp. The record is from RNAcentral. Lineage: Bacteria; Pseudomonadati; Pseudomonadota; Alphaproteobacteria; Maricaulales; Robiginitomaculaceae.